UUACGGCCAUAUCACUUUGAAACACCGUUUUCUGUACGAUCAUCGAAGUUAAGCAACGUUGAGCCCGGUCAGUACCUAGAUGAAUUACCACUUUGGAAAUACCGGCUGUUGG
This is a non-coding RNA of Acanthosepion pharaonis, 112 nucleotides long. Lineage: Eukaryota; Metazoa; Mollusca; Cephalopoda; Sepiida; Sepiidae. The record is from the annotation of a GenBank genome assembly.